Molecule: long non-coding RNA, 722 nt
Organism: Triticum dicoccoides
Lineage: Eukaryota; Viridiplantae; Streptophyta; Magnoliopsida; Poales; Poaceae
Exons: 3
Source: RefSeq, a predicted model, not a curated record
GCCUACCCUGUCAGUAGCCUCGUUCACGCGGGCGUUACAGUUCGUCUCGCCCGUCUAUACCAUGGGAUCGGAGGCCAGGACGCCAAGUUUCCAAAUUUCCCGAAUUGGUUGCGGCGAGGGGCUGGUGGCUGGACUGCGCGCUCGGCAAGGCGGAGCAUGGUGGCCGGAGCGUGCUGUAGGCGGUUUCACGUCACUUCUUCAUAGACCUGGUAGACGGCGAGCAGGAGGAGCAGGAGAUGUGGGUUUCGCAGUGGUGAUGGCUGCAGCCAUGGGACGUUAGGGUGAUCUCGGUGGGAGAUUGAGGCCAGCGCGGAUGCCGAUCUUCUCUGGAGCCCCAUGAGGUUUGCCUUAAACUGUGGUUCUAGUGCACAUUCUAUGGUCAGAACUCAGAACUGCUGCUUUUUAGCAAGUAGAAGUGGAACUGAAACUUCUACCCAUGUUUCCAUGUCCAUGACAGCACCAUACCGUAGUAAACUUUUCUUUUUGUUAGCAAGAUAGGAGGAAUGUGAAGUCGUACUUGAAGCUUGGCGACAAGAGCUAACAUGGUCUGGAUAACUAAUAUCAUAAUAUAGUACAUGGAAUGAUUCUGCAAUAUUCUUGGUAGGUGGCCUAGGUACUAGCAAGACCAAGAUGAAGGCAGUUGCCAUUAGCAGAGAGACAAGCAUUGUCAUGUUCUCUUACAUAGGCACUCAAUGAAGCUUAAUCUUAAUUAUCAACAUACA